RNAcentral lists this ribosomal RNA (548 nucleotides) under uncultured Glomeromycotina. RNAcentral's name for it is "SSU rRNA". It matches the Rfam family "Eukaryotic small subunit ribosomal RNA", at positions 548 to 1098 of the family's 1831-position model. The record is from RNAcentral. Lineage: Eukaryota; Fungi; Glomeromycota.
UUGGAGGGCAAGUCUGGUGCCAACAGCCGCGGUAAUUCCAGCUCCAAUAGCGUAUAUUAAAGUUGUUGCAGUUAAAAAGCUCGUAGUUGAAUUUCGGGAUCAGAGUGUCGGUCGUGCCUCGGUACGCACUGGUAUUAUUGGUUCCUACCUUCUGAAGAACCGCGAUGUCAUUAAUUUGGUGUCGUGGGGAAUCGGGACUGUUACUUUGAAAAAAUUAGAGUGUUUAAAGCAGGCUUACGCUUGAAUACAUUAGCAUGGAAUAAUGAAAUAGGACGUUUGAUUCUAUUUUGUUGGUUUCUAGGAUUGACGUAAUGAUUAAUAGGGAUAGUUGGGGGCAUUAGUAUUCAAUUGUCAGAGGUGAAAUUCUUGGAUUUAUUGAAGACUAACUACUGCGAAAGCAUUUGCCAAGGAUGUUUUCAUUAAUCAAGAACGAAAGUUAGGGGAUCGAAGACGAUCAGAUACCGUCGUAGUCUUAACCAUAAACUAUGCCGACUAGGGAUCGGAUGAUGUUAAUUUUUUAAUGACUCAUUCGGCGCCUUACGGGAAAC